UGGGGUGUCGCCAAGUGGUAAGGCAGCGGNNCAUUCCCAGGUUCGAAUCCUGGCACCCCAGCCA
Molecule: transfer RNA, 64 nt
Filed under: Hyphomonas sp.
Lineage: Bacteria; Pseudomonadati; Pseudomonadota; Alphaproteobacteria; Hyphomonadales; Hyphomonadaceae
Description: tRNA-OTHER
Rfam family: tRNA
About the family: Transfer RNA (tRNA) molecules are approximately 80 nucleotides in length. Their secondary structure includes four short double-helical elements and three loops (D, anti-codon, and T loops).
Source: RNAcentral